CAUUACAAACAAAUCGUAUCAACUACAGAUUUGGAAGAAAAAAAAUGUAUACCGUUAGACAGGAUUAUAUUUGACCAUUUUGACACAUUCUGAACAAAAUGUAUCGAAAAAGAAUUUUGACUAAAUAUUAUCUAUUUUGACUGGAACUAAAUAUUGUCGGUAGACAAAACAACUGUGCAUAAUCUCGACAAGUAUAUGAUCCAAUAGAAAAGGGAUUGAAACUGGGUGGCUGCAUU
This 236-nucleotide long non-coding RNA is filed under the name Brachypodium distachyon (stiff brome). Its description in RNAcentral is "long non-coding RNA (BDIS_LNC004123)". The record is from RNAcentral. Lineage: Eukaryota; Viridiplantae; Streptophyta; Magnoliopsida; Poales; Poaceae.